CCCUUAGAUGUUCUGGGCCGCACGCGUGCUACACUGAGUGGAUCAGCGGGUCAGGUUGCGCGAAAGCGUUUCCUAAUCUUUAAAUCCGCUCGUGAUGGGGAUUGACGGUUGCAAUUUUCUGUCAUGAACGAGGAAUACCUUGUAAGCGCGGGUCAUCAUCCCGCGCUGAAUACGUCCCUGCCCUUUGUACACACCGCCCGUCGCUCCUACCGAUUGAAUGAUCCGAUGAAUAUCAUGGAUUGAGGAUGCAAGUAGGUUAGCCUAUCUUCAUCUUCGAGAAGUGAAGUAAAUCUUAUCAUUUAGAGGAAGGAGAAGUCGUAACA
This 323-nucleotide ribosomal RNA is filed under the name uncultured eukaryote. RNAcentral describes it as "partial 18S ribosomal RNA". It matches the Rfam family "Eukaryotic small subunit ribosomal RNA", at positions 1470 to 1796 of the family's 1831-position model. The record is from RNAcentral.